UCAGAAAUUAAAGCAAGAUAUUGUAAUUAAAAGGCAAAAAACAAUGAAUAAUUUUUUUUAUAAUGACAGUAAAAAGAAAAAACCAACAUAAAAAAUUCAGAUUACAGUUUCUAACAAUUUAUACAAAAUCAGCUUGACAUAGCAUGGGAUUUGGCUCACGAUCAAGCAGUAAACGAAGCAUGACGAUACCACUGAAUUGACAAAUCAACAGUUUGUAAAUACAACCCUUUCAGAAACUGCUGAGCAGUUCGAUACCACUGAAAUUAUAAAAGAAUGGGUUUUUUUAUAUUAACAAAAUGCUUUUCAAAGAAUCUUCUUUUCAGCAAAACUUUUGGGUACUUUGAUUUAGAUUUAUGUAAACUCAUUUUUACAGGAGCAAAAGAGAUCUUCGUAUCUUGGAGAAGCAAAAAAAACUCACCUGUAGUGGAGUUGAUGACAGCGCUGGUGAGAGCCAAAGAACGCCGAUGAGAGAGAGGUAGGCCGGCGAGAGGAGAGGAGGUGAGAAGUGAAGAUUUUGGGAGGAUAUGGAUCUUUGAAUUUAGAUGCGUAAAACAACUUACCGAGUCAAGAAGCGGGAAAUUAGGAAAAU
RNAcentral lists this long non-coding RNA (589 nucleotides) under Gossypium barbadense (sea-island cotton). Its description in RNAcentral is "long non-coding RNA (GBAR_LNC014531)". The record is from RNAcentral. Lineage: Eukaryota; Viridiplantae; Streptophyta; Magnoliopsida; Malvales; Malvaceae.